CACUGCCAUUCACCUCACCCUCGCCCUCAUUGACCCCCCCACCACUGCUAAUUUAAAUCCCUUAACGAGGAACAAUUGGAGGGCAAGUCUGGUGCCAGCAGCCGCGGUAAUUCCAGCUCCAAUAGCGUAUAUUAAAGUUGUUGCAGUUAAAAAGCUCGUAGUUGAACUUCAGAUCUGGCUGGGCGGUCUGCUUAACGGCGUGUACUGUCUGGCUGAGUCUUACCUCUUGGUGAGCCGGCGUGCCCUUUAUUGGUGUGCGUUGGGGAACCAGGACUUUUACCUUGAGAAAAUUAGAGUGUUCAAAGCAGGCAUUUGCCCGAAUACAUUAGCAUGGAAUAAUAAAAUAGGACGUGCGGUUCUAUUUUGUUGGUUUCUAGAGUCGCCGUAAUGAUUAAUAGGGAUAGUUGGGGGCAUUGGUAUUGAGUCGCUAGAGGUGAAAUUCUUGGAUUGACUCAAGACCGACUAUUGCGAAAGCAUUUGCCAAGGAUGUUUUCAUUAAUCAAGAACGAAGGUUAGGGGAUUGAAAACGAUCAGAUACCCUCUUGGAGGAGGCCCUGUGGGGGGUCUUGUGCAUCGCUCACCG
RNAcentral lists this non-coding RNA (583 nucleotides) under Laccaria amethystina LaAM-08-1. RNAcentral's name for it is "Eukaryotic small subunit ribosomal RNA". It matches the Rfam family "Eukaryotic small subunit ribosomal RNA", at positions 34 to 1070 of the family's 1831-position model. Lineage: Eukaryota; Fungi; Basidiomycota; Agaricomycetes; Agaricales; Hydnangiaceae. The record is from Rfam by way of RNAcentral.